AAAUUCUGCCCUAUGAAUAAUUUAAAUGGCUGCAGUAUUUUAACUGUACAAAGGUAGCAUAAUAAUUAGUUUUUUAAUUGAGGACUGGAAUGAAAGAUUAAAUGAGAAAUUUAUUUUAUUAAAUUUAUUUUUUAAAUUUUAUUUUUAGGUAAAAAAGCUUAAAUUUUUAAUUGGGACGAAAAGACCCUAUAGAACUUUAUUUAAUUUAAUUAGUUUUAAAAUUAAUUUUAUAAAAUUUUUUAUUAUAUUUUUUGUUGGGGUGAUAAAUAAAUUUAUCUUUAUUUAUUUAAUUCAUUAAUUUAUGAUUGUUAUGACUUAUUAUUAUAAUUACAAGAUUUAGUUACCUUAGGGAUAACAGCGUAAUUUUUAUGGGGAGUUCAUAUCUAUAUAAAAGUUUGCGACCUCGAUGUUGAAUUAAGAAUAUCUAUUAAAGAAGUAUUUAAUAAGUUAAGUCUGUUCGACUUUUAAAUUCUU
Molecule: ribosomal RNA, 474 nt
Filed under: Eurhadina (Singhardina) sp. 1 ZM-2012
Lineage: Eukaryota; Metazoa; Arthropoda; Insecta; Hemiptera; Cicadellidae
Description: partial 16S ribosomal RNA
Rfam family: Bacterial large subunit ribosomal RNA (bases 351-474)
Source: RNAcentral